This 256-nucleotide ribosomal RNA is filed under the name uncultured bacterium. RNAcentral describes it as "partial 16S ribosomal RNA". It matches the Rfam family "Bacterial small subunit ribosomal RNA", at positions 521 to 776 of the family's 1533-position model. The record is from RNAcentral.
UAAUACGGAGGAUGCGAGCGUUAUCCGGAUUUAUUGGGUUUAAAGGGUGCGUAGGCUGUCAGAUAAGUCAGCGGUGAAAUACCUGGGCUCAACUCAGGGGCUGCCGUUGAUACUGUCUGGCUGGAAUAUGGUUGCUGUCGGCGGAAUGUGUAGUGUAGCGGUGAAAUGCAUAGAUAUUACACAGAACACCAAUUGCGAAGGCAGCUGACAAAACCAUUAUUGACGCUGAUGCACGAAAGUGUGGGGAUCAAACAGG